ACGAACGCUGGCGGCGUGCCUAAUACAUGCAAGUUGCGCGAUGAAGAUUGGUGCUUGCACCAAUUUGAAGAGCAGCGAACGGGUGAGUAACGCGUGGGGAAUCUGCCUUUGAGCGGGGGACAACAUUUGGAAACGAAUGCUAAUACCGCAUAACAACUUUAAACAUAAGUUUUAAGUUUGAAAGAUGCAAUUGCAUCACUCAAAGAUGAUCCCGCGUUGUAUUAGCUAGUUGGUGAGGUAAAGGCUCACCAAGGCGAUGAUACAUAGCCGACCUGAGAGGGUGAUCGGCCACAUUGGGACUGAGACACGGCCCAAACUCCUACGGGAGGCAGCAGUAGGGAAUCUUCGGCAAUGGACGAAAGUCUGACCGAGCAACGCCGCGUGAGUGAAGAAGGGUUUCGGAUCGUAAAACUCUGUUGGUAGAGAAGAACGUUGGUGAGAGUGGAAAGCUCAUCAAGUGACGGUAACUACCCAGAAAGGGACGGCUAACUACGUG
RNAcentral lists this ribosomal RNA (496 nucleotides) under uncultured bacterium. RNAcentral describes it as "partial 16S ribosomal RNA". It matches the Rfam family "Bacterial small subunit ribosomal RNA", at positions 29 to 507 of the family's 1533-position model. The record is from RNAcentral.